AGCGAACGCUGGCGGCAGGCCUAACACAUGCAAGUCGAACGAACUCUUCGGAGUUAGUGGCGGACGGGUGAGUAACACGUGGGAACGUGCCUUUUGGUUCGGAAUAACUCAGGGAAACUUGUGCUAAUACCGAAUGUGCCCUUCGGGGGAAAGAUUUAUCGCCAUUAGAGCGGCCCGCGUCUGAUUAGCUAGUUGGUGAGGUAACGGCUCACCAAGGCGACGAUCAGUAGCUGGUCUGAGAGGAUGACCAGCCACACUGGGACUGAGACACGGCCCAGACUCCUACGGGAGGCAGCAGUGGGGAAUCUUGCGCAAUGGGCGAAAGCCUGACGCAGCCAUGCCGCGUGAAUGAUGAAGGUCUUAGGAUUGUAAAAUUCUCUCACCGGGGACGAUAAUGACGGUACCCGGAGAAGAAGCCCCGGCUAACUUCGUG
Molecule: ribosomal RNA, 433 nt
Filed under: uncultured bacterium
Lineage: Bacteria
Description: partial 16S ribosomal RNA
Rfam family: Bacterial small subunit ribosomal RNA
Source: RNAcentral